GGUGCAUGGCCGCUUUUGGUCGGUGGAGUGAUUUGUUUGGUUGAUUCCGUCAACGGACGAGAUCCAAGCUGCCCAGUAGGAUUCAGAAUUGCCCAUAGGAUAGCAAUCCCUUCCGCGGGUUUUACCCAAGGGGGGGCGGUAUUCGCUUGUAUCCUUCUCUGCGGGAUUCCUUGUUUUGCGCAAGGUGAGAUUUUGGGCAACAGCAGGUCUGUGAUGC
This 217-nucleotide ribosomal RNA is filed under the name Trypanosoma cruzi. RNAcentral's name for it is "partial 18S ribosomal RNA". It matches the Rfam family "Eukaryotic small subunit ribosomal RNA", at positions 1279 to 1470 of the family's 1831-position model. The record is from RNAcentral. Lineage: Eukaryota; Euglenozoa; Kinetoplastea; Trypanosomatida; Trypanosomatidae.